Molecule: ribosomal RNA, 171 nt
Filed under: uncultured bacterium
Lineage: Bacteria
Also listed under: 1 other name
Description: partial 16S ribosomal RNA
Rfam family: Bacterial small subunit ribosomal RNA
Source: RNAcentral
CCUACGGGAGGCAGCAGUGGGGAAUUUUCCGCAAUGGGCGAAAGCCUGACGGAGCAAUGCCGCGUGGAGGUGGAAGGCCUACGGGUCGUCAACUUCUUUUCUCGGAGAAGAAACAAUGACGGUAUCUGAGGAAUAAGCAUCGGCUAACUCUGUGCCAGCAGCCGCGGUAAU